This 522-nucleotide ribosomal RNA is filed under the name uncultured Glomeromycotina. Its description in RNAcentral is "SSU rRNA". It matches the Rfam family "Eukaryotic small subunit ribosomal RNA", at positions 569 to 1092 of the family's 1831-position model. The record is from RNAcentral. Lineage: Eukaryota; Fungi; Glomeromycota.
AGCAGCCGCGGUAAUUCCAGCUCCAAUAGCGUAUAUUAAAGUUGUUGCAGUUAAAAAGCUCGUAGUUGAAUUUCGGGGUUAGUAGGUUGGUCAUGCCUCUGGUGUGUACUGGUCUCACUGAUUCCUCCUUCCUGAUGAACCUUAAUGCCAUUAAUUUGGUGUUUUGGGGAAUUUGGACUGUUACUUUGAAAAAAUUAGAGUGUUUAAAGCAAGCUAACGCUUGAAUACAUUAGCAUGGAAUAAUGAAAUAGGACGUUCGAUCCUAUUUUGUUGGUUUCUAGGAUUGACGUAAUGAUUAAUAGGGAUAGUUGGGGGCAUUAGUAUUCAAUUGUCAGAGGUGAAAUUCUUGGAUUUAUUGAAGACUAACUACUGCGAAAGCAUUUGCCAAGGAUGUUUUCAUUAAUCAAGAACGAAAGUUAGGGGAUCGAAGACGAUCAGAUACCGUCGUAGUCUUAACCAUAAACUAUGCCGACUAGGGAUCGGAUGAUGUUAAUUUUUUAAUGACUCAUUCGGCGCCUUACG